This 468-nucleotide ribosomal RNA is filed under the name uncultured bacterium. Its description in RNAcentral is "partial 16S ribosomal RNA". It matches the Rfam family "Bacterial small subunit ribosomal RNA", at positions 28 to 507 of the family's 1533-position model. The record is from RNAcentral.
GACGAACGCUGGCGGCGUGCUUAACACAUGCAAGUCGAACGGAAAGGCCCUGCCUUCGUUGGGUGCUCGAGUGGCGAACGGGUGUGUAACACGUGAGCAACCUGCCCCUGGCUUUGGGAUAACUUCAGGGAACUGGGGCUAAUACCUGAGAGGUGCUGCUGCUGCAUGGUGGGGGUUGGAAAGUUUCGGCGGGUGGGGAUGGACUCGGGGGUUAGCAGCUUGUUGGUGGGGUAGUGGCUGACCAAGGCUUUGGCGGGUGGCCGGCAUGGGCGGUGGACCAGCCACAAUGGGCCUGAGAUACGGCCCAGACUCCAACGUGAGGCAACGGUGGGGAGUCUGGCACAAUGAUCGGGAGCCUGGUACGGCGGCGCCGCGUGCGUAAUGAGCGCCUGCAGGUUGUAAACCGCUUUCGGCUAUUACGAAGCGUUCGUGACGGUACCGGAUGAAUAAGCACCGGCUAACUACGUG